This is a long non-coding RNA of Gigantopelta aegis, 2002 nucleotides long. RefSeq lists it as uncharacterized. Lineage: Eukaryota; Metazoa; Mollusca; Gastropoda; Neomphalida; Peltospiridae. The record is from RefSeq and is a predicted model, not a curated record. The transcript has 2 exons.
AAUUUCGUGGUAAAAGUUCGCUUCGUCUUCCUCCAUAUGUUGAUGAUUUCAUCUUUCAGAAAUAAGUGAAGACCUCAGCUUUGUACGUGUUUCUGCUUGGAAGAUAUUUUUCCUGGGAAUGCAAAUAUGGAGAUGAUACAGUUUUAAAUGUGGACAUACAACAGAAAACUCACUGUUUCUUGAAGACCACUAUGGACUGUCAUCUGGAACUACAACUUGGAAAGUUGUUGCUGAUGUGAAAUAUAAGACAACAUUAAUACACUAUUUGUAUAUACUUUGGUAUGUGCGAUAACAUUGCAGCAAAAAAAGUGACACAACUACUGUGUUUCAGAUGACUGGACAGUUUCGUGUUUUGCCUUGAUUACAAUGUAGUUUGUGUGAAUGAUCAUGGCUAACUAGAACAGCCCCCCCCCCCCACCCCCCACCCCACCAUCCCCCGUGUGUGUUACAUAAUUAUUCUGAACUAUGUGAUAAACCAGGUUACCCGAUAGUUUGUUGUCAUAGCAGUUCGACCAAAGUGAACAGUGACCGUGUUAAUGUUUUAUUAUUAUUAUGGUUUAAAUUAAUAUGGCUCAAUCUAGUGAGGCUAGUUUCACCUGCGAAGUAUGUUUAAAGCAUUUUGCACAUCGCGCUAAUUUGAAAAGACACAUGUUAAUACACACAGGUGAAAAACCGUUUCCAUGCCACGUCUGUUCGAAGCGGUUCGCGCGCCAUUCGCACGUGCAGUCUCACAUGCUAAUUCACACUGGCGUAAAACAAUUUCAAUGCGACGUCUGCUCAAAGGGUUUCGCACACAGAGUGCAACUCAAAACUCACAUGUUUGAGCAUGGCAGCAAACUUUACACGUGCGACUUGUGCUCAAAGGAAUGCACCCGGCUCUCAAGUCUGAAGUCGCACAUGAUGUUUAUUCACAACGUCGGAGAGAAAACGUUUAUGUGUACGUGCAUCGUUUGUUCUAGACGGUUCACACACCAAUCGCACCUCAACAGACAUAUGGCGGUCCAUUCCGGCGAAAGAGCGUUCCCCUGUGACAUUUGCUCUAAACGUUUUACAAGGAGUUCUCAUGUUACGAGACACAGGUUGAUACAUUUCCGAACAUCACCAGCCAGGUGAAAUUGUAUAUACAUGUGACUGUAUGUCAUUAAAGGCAUAUUAUCACAGACCACUGACCAAUUUAAUGGUCUAACAAAGUAUUACCUGAACAAAAAUAAUUUGAUUUGUCCGUAAAUGUACUUUAUUCAACUAUCUUCAAUAACCACCAUCUAUUAAUGAUAUUAUGGCAAUGGUCCAUAAUUCAAAAACUAAAAUUGCCGAGAGAGUUGACAUGGAUUUCACUCCAUCAUGGUUCAGUUAAGGUGAUGCGAUAACUUGAUUUGGUUUCCAACAAUUAAUGUAAUUUUUAUUUAUUAUCCAUUUUUAGAGAAAUAAGGUCCUUAAAUCCAUGACAGUAUGACUUUAAGUGGCAGUCCCAUGUAUACAUGGAAAUCCAGGUAGUCCUACAUAUUGUGUGUAGGCUUGUAGGAAUGGGGUUUGGACCGGAAGGAGUGUCCCGUGCCUCCUCAGUUGAGGACCCCACAUUUCAAAAUCUUAGCCAACCAAUGUCAGUUCACGUGAUUUUUAUCUAUAGUCCUUCCCAUAGGGAACACAUUUUUGUCAUACUAUGGAAUUUAUUACAAGUUAUUUAUUUUUGACCCGCUUAUUUUAUUAAUUGCACACGGAAAUAGUUAGGGGUAGGGGUAGGUUGUGUGUGUUUUUUGUUGUUUCCAAAACACUUUGACUUUUCUUCUUACGUCAAACCAAACUGAAUUUUUUUUUUUUUUUUUAAAUGGUUGCUGGAGUUUGGGAUGGGACGGACUAUAUGUAACCGAUGUUCGGUUAUGUGAAUUAUACUUGUACGUGAAUUACCAUUUAAUAACUACGUGCUGCACAUCAUUGUCCAAAAUUAAGAUAGUAUAUAAUAGAUGCAUUUUUAGAAUACGUGAAUAAAAGUUUGGUGAUUCAA